Molecule: ribosomal RNA, 2082 nt
Filed under: Triticum aestivum (bread wheat)
Lineage: Eukaryota; Viridiplantae; Streptophyta; Magnoliopsida; Poales; Poaceae
Description: partial small subunit ribosomal RNA
Source: RNAcentral
AUGUCUAUGCAGCAGGACAGGCGGAGGAAGCACCCGAGGCCGCCGCCGCCGCCGUCGCCGGGCGUCGAGCUCGCGAUGGCGCCGCACUCGCGGGACAGCCGCAGAGUCCAUUUCGAGGAGAUCCGCGAGCUCGACGGCGACGACUCCGAGCUGGGGGCCGGGCACGCGCGCGGCCGCGUGCCGCCGUGGCGGGAGCAGCUGACGGCGCGCGGGAUGGUGGCGAGCCUGGCCGUCGGCGCCAUGUACAGCGUCAUCGUGAUGAAGCUCAACCUCACCACGGGCCUCGUCCCCACGCUCAACGUCUCCGCCGCGCUCAUCGCCUUCGUCGUCCUCCGCGCCUGGACCAAGGCGCUGGCCCGCCUCGGCGUCGCCGCCCGCCCCUUCACGCGCCAGGAGAACACCGUCGUGCAGACCUGCGCCGUCGCCUGCUACAGCAUCGCCGUCGGAGGUGGGUUCGGGUCCUACCUGCUCGCGCUCGACAAGAACACCUACGAGAUGGCCGGGGAGGAGACGGAGGGCAACGUGCCGGGGAGCUACAAGGAGCCCGGCAUUGCGUGGAUGACCGGCUUCCUCCUCGCCGUCAGCUUCGUGGGGAUCAUCGCGCUCGUCCCUCUCAGGAAGAUUAUGAUUAUUGACUACAAAUUAACUUAUCCAAGCGGGACUGCAACAGCUGUGCUUAUAAAUGGAUUCCAUACGCCCCAUGGAGAUGCUAUGGCAAAGCAGCAAGUAAAUGCAUUCACAAAAUACUUCGGAAUCAGCUUCUUCUGGAGCUUCUUCCAGUGGUUUUACUCCGGUGGGGACAGUUGUGGGUUCUCGCAGUUUCCUACUUUUGGACUAACAGCUUGGAAACACACAUUCUUCUUUGAUUUCAGCCUCACAUAUGUUGGGGCAGGGAUGAUUUGUUCCCACCUCGUUAAUCUGUCUCUCCUUUUUGGCGCCAUUCUCUCCUGGGGUGUCAUGUGGCCUCUGAUCAGUGAUUUGGAAGGCGACUGGUAUCCAGCAAAUAUACCAGAAAGCAGCAUGAGCAGCCUGCAAGGCUACAAGGCCUUCAUAUGCAUAGCUCUCAUCCUAGGAGAUGGCCUGUACAAUUUUGUCAAGAUUAUUGUAUUCACUAUUAAGAAUCUGAUUGAAAAAUCAAAUCUGAAGAACACAAAGAAAGAUGAAGACAUUCCAGUGCUUGAUGACCUUCAUCGUAAUGAAGUUUUUAUGAAAGACAGUCUACCUUCCUGGCUAGCCUACUCUGGCUACGUUGCAUUGUCAGUUGCUGCAGUAAUUAUCAUCCCCAUGAUGUUCCGCGAGAUGAAGUGGUACUAUGUUAUCAUUGCAUACCUACUGGCUCCUGCCCUGGGUUUCUGCAACGCCUAUGGCGCUGGCCUUACUGAUAUCAACAUGGCCUACAAUUAUGGGAAGGUUGCCCUCUUCAUUCUUGCAGCCUGGGCUGGAAAGGACUCUGGUGUAGUUGCUGGCUUAGUAGGCUGCGGUCUGGUGAAGUCGCUGGUGUCAAUAUCUGCUGAUCUGAUGCAUGAUUUCAAGACUGGGCAUCUCACACUAACAUCUCCCAGAUCAAUGCUUAUUGCUCAGGCUAUUGGCACCGCCAUGGGCUGUAUCAUCGGGCCACUAACAUUCAUGCUGUUCUACAAGGCAUUUGACAUAGGCAACCCAGAAGGGCCCUGGAAGGCACCGUAUGCUCUGAUCUACCGAAACAUGGCAAUUCUUGGUGUGGAGGGUUUCUCUGCUCUACCCCAGCAUUGCUUGCAGCUGUGCUAUGGGUUCUUUGGCUUUGCAGUGGUGGCCAACCUUAUGAGGGACCUCUUAUCGCCGAAGUAUGGUAGGUGGGUUCCCCUACCGAUGGCAAUGGGGGUUCCUUUCCUUGUCGGCGCGAGCUUUGCCAUCGACAUGUGUGUGGGAAGCUUAGUAGUCUUUGUCUGGAACAUGAUGGACAGAAAUAAGGCUGCACUGAUGGUGCCGGCAGUUGCAUCUGGUUUGAUAUGUGGAGACGGGCUUUGGAUCUUCCCUUCGGCAUUGCUUGCACUGGCCAAGAUCAGUCCACCAUUCUGCAUGGCAUUUAGGCCUACACACUAG